CUUUAAAGCAUAGCGAGUCUGCACGCAGCCACGAAACGCUUCAUUCUUUUCCUUCUGAGUUUCGUGUCACCGCACCGUCCGAGAUCGACAGCUCUGCACUGUGAGCGAAUCGCCAGGAGGGUACAAGCCCGCCUGUGGCAGUGCUCUGAGGUCGUUGCCAUGACUACGACCUUUCCGAGACAGCCGCUGCCAUUUUGGCUCCGGUUUUCCCGUGACUGUCGCUGGAUUGCGGUGUGUGUCUUCGCCGAAACUUUGCAUUUUAAAAUAAACAGACUGAUAAAGAAAAUACAUGUAGAGGCCAUCUGUACUGGGAACUGAGUUCUGUCUUCAGAUAAAUGAACCAGAAAUGACACAGCCUUGAAAAAGACUAAAGCGAAACAUCCAAUAAACUAGAGUGGUCAAUGGAUGCCCCUUUACACUGAAAGGCCGCUUCUUUGAGUCCAUCUGCCCUUCACAAAUUAUUGAUGUCAAGUUACUGACAGCCUCGCAUGCUUAGACAAUGCCGUUUUAAGACGCAGGUUGCCAGGGACUGGCAUACUGUGCACAUGUGCAAUUCAGAAUGGGCAAGACGAAAGACUUAAGUGCCUUUGAACGUGGUAUGGUAGUGGGUGCCAGAUGUGCUGGCCUGAGUGUAUCCGAAACCUCAAACCUUUUGGGGUUUUCACGUACAACAGUGUCACGAGUGUAUCGAGAAUGGGCUGCCACUCAAAAAACAUCCAGUCAACGGUGGACUUGUGGUCGGAAGCAGACUGUGGAUAAAACGGGCAAAGAGAGGCUGACGCAACUUGUGCAAAGUAACAGGGAGGCUACAAUCCGCCAGUUAACGGCCGAGUACAACAGUGGAGCUAAAAGAGUGAUAUCAGAACGUACCACCCGUCGUACGCUGGCACAGAUGGGAUAUACAAAAGUUAGCACACUAUGUCGGAAAUAAAUCCUUUCAAAUUAAAUGAAUCAACAUACGUGUACAAACGACUAAAACCGUAUAUUUAAACACACAGGAAAAGUAAAGGAUGGUACAUAAAAUACAAAAAGAAAAGCUGAACACAGUUGCUACGCUGUCUUUUGUAUAGAAUGGCAUCCUCAUAUAUGAAAUACCACAAUCAUAAAUGUGGACAGUGGCAACAAAGGUACUGGAAUGUAAUAAAUGUAUAUUUCUGAAAAUCCAAGAUGAGCCACCAUUAGGGCAUUCGAUGUUUUCAGACCCACAAAAUCUUAUUUUAGAGUCCUAGGAGGUCGGCGUCAAUUCUGGCAAAACUGAGUACAUGGCAGGGCAAAUGUAUACACCUGCUUAUAUCAUAUCCAGUUUAUAAUAUCUGUUUGCUGAAAUGUAAUCAGUAAAGAUAUCAAUGCACAGAAAUUGUCAAAUUUAAUAUAUAUGUGUAUAUAUAAAUAUAUAAAAACUGAGUGAAUUGUGCCAAAAGUUGGACAUUAAUAAUUAGGAACAUUGAAAGUGAAAUCUUAGUACAAAACUGAGUCAAAGAAAAAAGACUGAAUACAUGCAGAGAACAUAUAAACGUUCAGUCAAAAAGCAAAUUUAAAUUGAAAUCGUUUUAAACAGCAUAAUAAGAAAUAAAAAAAUCGGAGUAUGUUAGGAACCUCCGGUGUGUUCACCUUGAAGUCAGUUAGCCAGCACCUCUGGGCAGGACAUCUUUAAAGGUGUGGCUACCGCCCUCACAGCUCUUCUGAUUGGCUGGGACAUCCUGUGGUAUUUUGUUUUAACAUACACAGCCCCAUAAAGAUGAAGAUGGUGAUGAUGAUGAUGAUAGAGGUGUCUUGUGGUUCUUCAGAACUCCACAAUUGUCAUUUUCAGUCUCGGAGACAAAGAUGUGCUGGAAUUGUUUUAGGUCACCUCUGUGUUUCAGGUUGCCGUCCUGUUGAUGCUCUUGCUAUUGACCACAUUGCAGUGUGUCCUUCAGCUCACCUUUCUUUUAAGAUUGUGAAUUUUUAUAAUACCAAUGGAAACAAUGCUGGAUUGAUCACCAACUUUCUAGAUGCUUGGUUACACUCAUUAAACUAUGAGAAUUUGUUUGACCCUCAUUGCCUGUCACUGCUUAAUUGGACCUAAUUGUCACCUUUUCAGCUUUUAAUUCUCCUGUUAAAGCUAAAAGUAAUAUGUUUGAUGUAAUGAUUCCAAAUAUAUCAACUUCUCAGUUGCAUGUCUUUCACCA
Polypterus senegalus (gray bichir) is the source of this 2168-nucleotide long non-coding RNA. RefSeq lists it as uncharacterized. The record is from RefSeq and is a predicted model, not a curated record. The transcript has 3 exons. NCBI's taxonomy places the organism in Eukaryota, Metazoa, Chordata, Cladistia, Polypteriformes, Polypteridae.